Molecule: non-coding RNA, 135 nt
Organism: Hordeum vulgare subsp. vulgare (domesticated barley)
Lineage: Eukaryota; Viridiplantae; Streptophyta; Magnoliopsida; Poales; Poaceae
Source: Rfam
CUACUACUCCCUCGUCCCAAAAUUCUUGUCUUUGAUUUGUCCAGAUAUGAAUGUAUCUUAUCAUGUAUUAGUUUUUAGAUACAUCCAUUUCUAGAUAAAACUAAGACAAAUUUUUUGGAACGGAGGGAGUAUAUU